Molecule: ribosomal RNA, 301 nt
Filed under: uncultured bacterium
Lineage: Bacteria
Description: partial 16S ribosomal RNA
Rfam family: Bacterial small subunit ribosomal RNA
Source: RNAcentral
CAGCAGCCGCGGGAAUACGGAGGGAGCUAGCGUUGUUCGGAAUUACUGGGCGUAAAGCGCGCGUAGGCGGUUACUCAAGUCAGAGGUGAAAGCCCGGGGCUCAACCCCGGAACUGCCUUUGAAACUAGGUGACUAGAAUCUUGGAGAGGUCAGUGGAAUUCCGAGUGUAGAGGUGAAAUUCGUAGAUAUUCGGAAGAACACCAGUGGCGAAGGCGACUGACUAGACAAGUAUUGACGCUGAGGUGCGAAAGCGUGGGGAGCAAACAGGAUUAGAUACCCCCGUAGUCCCUGUCUCUUAUAC